UUAUUCCCCCAACUGGACUGAACCCGGCCCAGACUCCUACGGAGCAGCAUGGGGAAUUGGACAUGGGCGAAGCUGAUCCAGCCAUGCCGCGUGAGUGAAGAAGCUCGGUGUAAGCUCUUCAGGUGGAAAGAAAACUUCGGGGAAUACCCGGGAGGCUGACGUACAUCAGAGAAGCACGGCUAACUACGUGCCAGCAGCCGCGGUAAUACGUAGGGUGCGAGCGUAAUCGGAAUUACUGGGCGUAAAGCGUGCGCAGGCGGUUAUGUAAGACAGAUGUGAAAUCCCCGGGGCUCAACCUGGGAACUGCGUUUGUGACUGCAUAACUAGAGUACGGCAGAGGGAGGUGGAAUUCCGCGUGUAGCAGUGAAAUGCGUAGAUAUGCGGAGGAACACCGAUGGCGAAGGCAGCCUCCUGGGCCAGUACUGACGCUCAUGCACGAAAGCGUGGGGAGCAAACAGGAUUAGAUACCCUGGUAGUCCACGCCCUAAACGAUGUCAACUAGUUGUUCGGUGAGGAGACUCAUUGAGUAACGCAGCUAACGCGUGAAGUUGACCGCCUGGGGAGUACGGCCGCAAGGUUAAAACUCAAAGGAAUUGACGGGGACCCGCACAAGCGGUGGAUGAUGUGGAUUAAUUCGAUGCAACGCGAAAAACCUUACCUACCC
This 664-nucleotide ribosomal RNA is filed under the name uncultured bacterium. RNAcentral's name for it is "bacterial SSU rRNA". It matches the Rfam family "Bacterial small subunit ribosomal RNA", at positions 301 to 980 of the family's 1533-position model. The record is from RNAcentral.